RNAcentral lists this ribosomal RNA (484 nucleotides) under uncultured bacterium. RNAcentral describes it as "partial 16S ribosomal RNA". It matches the Rfam family "Bacterial small subunit ribosomal RNA", at positions 28 to 507 of the family's 1533-position model. The record is from RNAcentral.
AUUGAACGCUGGCGGCAUGCUUUACACAUGCAAGUCGAACGGCGGCGCGGGCUUCGGCCUGGCGGCGAGUGGCGAACGGGUGAGUAAUGCAUCGGAACGUGCCCAGUAGUGGGGGAUAGCCCGGCGAAAGCCGGAUUAAUACCGCAUACGACCUGAGGGUGAAAGCGGGGGACCGAAAGGCCUCGCGCUAUUGGAGCGGCCGAUGUCGGAUUAGCUAGUUGGUGGGGUAAAGGCUUACCAAGGCGACGAUCCGUAGCUGGUCUGAGGGGACGACCAGCCACACUGGGACUGAGACACGGCCCAGACUCCUACGGGAGGCAGCAGUGGGGAAUUUUGGACAAUGGGGGCAACCCUGAUCCAGCCAUGCCGCGUGCGGGAAGAAGGCCUUCGGGUUGUAAACCGCUUUUGUUCGGGAAGAAAUCCUCUGGGCUAAUACCCCGGGGGGAUGACGGUACCGGAAGAAUAAGCACCGGCUAACUACGUG